Molecule: ribosomal RNA, 330 nt
Filed under: uncultured eukaryote
Lineage: Eukaryota
Description: partial 18S ribosomal RNA
Rfam family: Eukaryotic small subunit ribosomal RNA
Source: RNAcentral
CCCUUAGAUGUUCUGGGCCGCACGCGCGCUACACUGAGCCCUUCAUCGAGUUUACAACCUUGGCCGGUAGGUCUGGGUAAUCUUCUCAAAGGGGCUCGUGCUGGGGAUAGAUUAUUGUAAUUUUUAAUCUUCAACGAGGAAUUCCUAGUAAACGCAAGUCAACAGCUUGCAUUGAUUACGUCCCUGCCCUUUGUACACACCGCCCGUCGCUACUGCCGAUUGAAUGGCUUAGUGAGCCCGAGGGACUGUUGCACCUAGAGGGUUUUCUCUCCAGGAGCAGCCGGGAACUCGGUCAAACUUGAUCAUUUAGAGGAAGUAAAAGUCGUAACA